GUCUACGGCCAUACCACCCUGAACGCGCCCGAUCUCGUCUGAUCUCGGAAGCUAAGCAGGGUCGGGCCUGGUUAGUACUUGGAUGGGAGGAAUGCGCAUCUAUACAAUGGGUCUCGUGUAGU
RNAcentral lists this ribosomal RNA (122 nucleotides) under Neogale vison (American mink). The record is from RNAcentral. Lineage: Eukaryota; Metazoa; Chordata; Mammalia; Carnivora; Mustelidae.